GAUGAAGAACGUAGCGAAAUGCGAUAAGUAAUGUGAAUUGCAGAAUUCAGUGAAUCAUCGAAUCUUUGAACGCACAUUGCGCCCCUUGGUAUUCCGAGGGGCAUGCCUGUUCGAGCGUCAUUAUAACCCCUCAAGCUCAGCUUGGUGUUGGGGCCUGCUGCACUGGCAGCCCUUAAAAUCAGUGGCGGCGCCAUCUGGCUCUAAGCGUAGUAAUUCUUCUCGCUAUGGAGUCCUGGUGGAUGCUUGCCAUCAACCCCCAAUUUUUCUAUGGUUGACCUCGGAUCAGUUAGGGAUACCCGCUGAACUUAAGCAUAUCAAUAAGCGGAGGA
RNAcentral lists this unclassified non-coding RNA (329 nucleotides) under soil metagenome. RNAcentral's name for it is "partial contains 5.8S ribosomal RNA, internal transcribed spacer 2, and large subunit ribosomal RNA". The stretch from base 1 to 120 matches the Rfam family "5.8S ribosomal RNA", at positions 35 to 154 of the family's 154-position model. The record is from RNAcentral.